UAAAGAGUCGAGCCUGCCCAGUGAUAUAUAUUUAACGGCCGCGGUACUUUGACCGUGCAAAGGUAGCAUAAUCAUUUGCCUUAUAAUUGAAGGCUAGUAUGAAUGGUUUGACGAAAACAACACUGUCUCUUUUUAAUUUUAUAGAACUUGAUUUUUAGGUGAAGAAGCCUAAAUAGAAUUGAAAGACAAGAAGACCCUAUCGAGCUUAAAAGAAUUUUGCUAAGAUAAGAUGACCAUAAAAGAUCAGUUAUAGUAAAAAAUUUUAGUUGGGGCGACUAUGGAACAAAAAAGCUUCCACUUUAAUAUUAAAGCAUGUUAGCUAUGAUCCAAAAUUUUUGAUUAAAAGAAUUAGUUACCGUAGGGAUAACAGCAUAAUCUUUUUUGAGAGUUCUUAUCGAAAAAAAGGUUUGUGACCUCGAUGUUGGACUAGAAUAUCCUAAAUGAUGCAGAAGUCUUUAAGGGUUGGUC
This 468-nucleotide ribosomal RNA is filed under the name Pseudotricula eberhardi. RNAcentral describes it as "partial 16S ribosomal RNA". It matches the Rfam family "Bacterial large subunit ribosomal RNA", at positions 1846 to 2577 of the family's 2925-position model. The record is from RNAcentral. Lineage: Eukaryota; Metazoa; Mollusca; Gastropoda; Littorinimorpha; Tateidae.